GCUGAUCAGCCUGCCGCGUGAGUGAAGAAGGCCUUCGGGUUGUAAAGCUCUUUCAGCCGGAAAGAAAUCGCGCAGGAUAAUACUCUGCGUGGAUGACGGUACCGGAAGAAGAAGCACCGGCUAACUACGUGCCAGCAGCCGCGAUAAUUA
This 150-nucleotide ribosomal RNA is filed under the name uncultured bacterium. RNAcentral describes it as "partial 16S ribosomal RNA". It matches the Rfam family "Bacterial small subunit ribosomal RNA", at positions 382 to 525 of the family's 1533-position model. The record is from RNAcentral.